GGCACUUUGUUGGAUCAAAGCUAGUUGAAAUCUGAGCUAUCAGAUAUUUGGGGAUUUCCCUGUGGAAGACUAUCCUGGAGAGACAUAGAAUUAGAACAGGGGAUUGCUUGAUUGGGGAGUUACUUAAAAGCAUUUGCUAGAGUCCUGCUGUGCACAGGUGAUUAUAAACUGUUGGGUCAUCAGCUAGGGGACUGACAUACAGUCAAGUAUGCCUAAAGCUGGCCUGUAUUGCUCUGGGACUGAGGUGCAUGUGGAAUUACUGGAUAGAAGACUGUAUGUGCCCCCUCUUAUCCCAGCUGCACGGAGUACAUCUCAGCUUAAAUGGAAAACUUAGUCUGAAUUAUGAUUUUUAUUUGAAAAGCUUGGAGUUUCAUAUUUUCAUUUUGAGGAGUGCUGUUUUGUCUGCAGACCUUCUCAAGCAUUAAGAUGAGACUAUGAGGUGUGUUACUGCUGCUUCAAAUAUGAGGUUUUGCAAUUCAUUAAACUCCACUGUUGCAGGAAAGAGUUAGUUUGUAUGGAAUUCCACUGGAUGUCUAUGAAAUGGCACAUGCAGCCACAUUGCAGUGUACUUCUGUUAAUUGCAUUGCAGUUACUAUGCCAUUUGCAAAAUAGGUGAGUUACCAAAAAGAAUGUCCUUUUAAUACCGUUAAAAGAAACUUAGGAUAUUUCAAAUUUUGUCUGUUGCUGUUUUAUUACAAUAGUCCUGCACCUAUUUCUAAUACCAGUAAAAAAGGCUUUUUGGAGACUUUCAAAUGAAUUUCUAGUAGUUCAACUGGUAUACUAUUGAAUCUCUUGGCCAAACAUCUUGGUGGAAGAGGGUCAUUCUUAGAAUAUGAAAUAAUGUACAGUCCAAUGUUUAUUCAUAUGGGUUUUCAGUUUUGGUGUGCAUCUGUCACUCUCAAAACCUAUCAUAUGAUGUACAUCUGUUCGUUUGGAUGAAAACAAAAUAGUACCAUAAUGGAUCCUAUAUUUAUAGAAUGCUAAAUAAUAAUGUGCUAUCUUAUAAUGAGGUGCAAAUUGUCCGCUAUUCAUUUGUAUAGAAUCAUAGAAUUGCUCAGGUUGGAAAAGGCCUUAAGGAUCAUCAAGUCCAACCACAACCUGACCAUACUACCCAACUCUAACAGCCCUCUGCUAAAUCAUGUCCCACAUCAAACAGUUGUUAACCACACCCAGGGGUGGUGACUCAACCAGCUCCCUGGGCAGCCCGUUCCAGUGCUCAACAACCCUUUUUGUAAAGUGGUUUUUCCCGAUAUCCAACUUCUGAUUUGAGUUCUUUUGUUUAUGUCAUGUUGUAAAGCUAUAUAAAUUGCUUAUUUAUUUAAAAGCUGCUAUUGGUUUCUGUGAGCCUGAAUUUGAAUUUUCAGAUGUCACUGAGGCAUGCAGAAGAUUCUGCUGUUAGCAUCUGUAGUGCUGUUCAUCGAGGUGAUGCUCAGUUUUAGUAUUUGUAUAAAUUUAGUGUGUUCUGCAUUGAUGGACUUCUGGCCAAUAAUUAAAUUUUUUUAAAUUGCUUCUUUCCCAUUUAUUUGUCUAAUCAUCUGGGCUCUGAAGAUAUUUCCUUCUGUGCAUUCUGGAGCUGUUUGAGCACAGCACUUUGCUAUCAUUGCUGUGCUUCCCAUUGCACUAUUGCAUUACAGGUGACCCCAUAGGAAGAAGCACUGUGUCAUCAGUUCUAGCUGUUUCAUCCCAAAAAGUUACUUUUAUUCUAUAUUUUUCAUGUUUUGGUUGUUUUGACUGGGAAGUGAUUAUUUCUCUCUCAGCAUCCAUUUACAAGCAAAAGGCAAGGAAAAUCAGUUUGGCUUAGCAGCUCUGUACAGGAACAUCAGCUUCUUUUUGAGUGCUUUUAAAUCCCUUAACAACCACUGGUAGCAAUGUCCUAAAAGCAAGAUUAUUCAGUUUUCUUCAAGUCCUGGUGUGAUGACAGUACUGUAAAGCGCUCAUUAAAUACAACGGCUGUACUUCAGCUGUGGAUUAUAAAAGCUGCAUGAUUCCACAGUCCCUCUCAGUCUAAACAUCUGUCUUUGUGUUCAGUGGUUGUGAAGAAAACAGUGUUAUGAAAUGCGAGGACAGAAUAAUCACCUCUCUAAUACAGCAUUAUGAAACGGCCUGCGUUGAGAGAGGCAGAUUUGUACUUGCUUUAUCUUACGUGGGUGUAAGAGAUAAUGGCAGUGUAAAUCUCAGAGGGAUAAUGUGUGUGAUUUAGAAUCUCUUCAUGAGGUUAAUGCCAUACAGAAUUGGUUGUUUGUUUGUGCUAGUCCACGAGAUGAGUAUUUUCACUGGUUACAGUUUCCUUAUCUAUCACAGUAAUCAGUGGAACUAACGGUAAGGUUUUGGGGUUUACGAAUUCUUAGGGUUGUUUUAUAGGAACAAAAUGGUUCUGUACUAACUUUUGUAUGGAGUCUUAAAACACAGUAUUUCUUCAGUUGCCAUUGUCUUUUACUUUAGGAAUUGAUGCUUUUUAGACGUAUGUUACACUGUGAUAAUGAAGUGGAAAUGCGAGAAGAAAAUAAUAUGUGAGGGAGAAACACUUUACCACGUCAAUCUAAGCCCCAGAUACCCACCUGCAGUAAAAAUGCACUACUGUUGUGAGACGCUUUGUAAUAUUAAGCCUAUUACUGGCUGUUCAUACCUGUAAAAUACGAAAGCUCUCGUGUCCAUGAACUCUGCUCAGAGAGUCAGGAGGCUCCUGAAGGCCUUUGCUGCUCUGGAAGAGAAGCUGGAAGGCAGCACACUGCAGUUCGCUUGUUAAACUGAAACAGCUCACAAGACAGCAUCCUGCCUCUCCCGCGGGGUUUGGUAUUUCACCUCGUUCUCUGCACAUUGGUUUACUUGGGAGAAUAAUGGAGCAGCACCAGGCUGCUGGAAGAUCCCAGCUGAUCCCGGUAAAAACCACACGUUCUGCUCCACAGUUCUGUUGCUAGGAGUUAGCAUUCAGUGCACUUCCAACAGAGCCUCAGCCUCUUUUUAUUCAUCUCUGUUGAAAUAUUGCUUCUUGUGGGUGAGGAUACCCUCAGGUGAGUGGUUCUUGUGAUCAUUUUUUCUUCAAUUUUGAGUUAUUUAUUGGCUACUUCUAAAAAAAUCCUUUGUGAUUGAAUCAAAUCCAUUUUCUCUUUUAUAGUUCAAUGAUGGUUUCUCUUUGAGGUUUGAUAUUCACAUUACAUCUGUAAUUAUAUCUGUCCUGGAGCUUGGUUUUCGUUUGAGUGGAAGGUCACUUUUGUUAUCAGGAAACCACAUAAGAGUCUCCUCCUAUAGGCUUGUUGCAGGCUGCUAGGUGUCUGUUUGAAGCACUCGGAUGGUAGAAGUGCUGCAGUAGUUUCUGGAACUUGACAGAAUUUGAAAAAUGAUAAUGAGUGGGAAGUGUGCUGUAGUACUCACUUCUUAAAAUGUUUUUUUUCAUUCCUCCUUUUGGUGGAAUCGUGGAGUAUAAGAACUUUAUUUUCAAAACUUGGUAGAAGUAUUUCUUAAAUAUCCUUCAGCAGAGUGGGUGUGUGAAACACGCUGCAAAGCUUCAUACUUCUCAGCGAGUGGGAAAUGUGCUCCCGCACCCAGCAGACACAUCACUCAGCCAUUGCUUGGGCUGCUGAGCUCUGCCGAGCAUCACUGAACCUGAGGGAUGUUACCCUGUCCUCUCCUCUCCACCUCAUCCCAUCCUUGUUCAAGUGACGAUGAUGCCAGUGAUUCAGAAAUACAUUCUUAAUGAAAUUGACCAUUAUAAAGCAACUAUGGAGAAAGUAAAUCUAAACGGCAUGUUUUUCCUCCUAGAAAAGAUGCUCUUUCAUAGCCAUAGGCAGUGCUGCUAUGCAGACCAUUUUGUGCACUGUGCAGAAAAUAGCCGUGUUUUGCCUUAGAUCCCAGGAAACAUGCUGAAUAGGAGCGAGAGGUGAGGCGGCGUUGGGUGGAAGUGAUAAGGCUGUGAAAAUGCUCUGAAAGUAGCCGGCCUGUUGUGUGCACUGUGUUAUUGCACAAGCAAUCUCUUACACUUUCUAAGUGUGCAUAGUUAUAUAUUGCUGCUGGCAGAGCACAGCUAACAGAAUUAGAAAAAUUAGAGAUGCCAUUGGAGACUGCAAAUCCCUCCAGCCUUUUCCUAAAAUGGAAAUGGAGAAUAUUCUGAUCUGCUUUUUGAACAUCACCGCAGCACAUCGUGUCGUGUGUCCAGGAAUUAAACGAGACUGCUUUGUGUAGUACCUACAGGUAUCAUCUCUAAUGGGAAAUAUUGCCAGAAAACUGCUUACAAACCAUGCUGCUCGUGAUCUGACAGUGUUUCUCUUCCUUAAUUCUUCAAACAUCUGUUUUACCACUGCAAGUUGCAGUAUCUUGGUCUUUCAAUCUGUUUCUACUUAUUCUAUAAAAGCAUCAGAAGAAGAAAGCUGUGCAUUCUCUUCAAUUUGAUGGAAUUUUUGCAACAUUUUCUUCUCAAAAUUGAAUAAGUUAUAUUGAAGCUGUUGUGCUUAACUGGGUUUAAAAAAUAAAAAAAAAAAACAACAAACAACUGCCUAAAAAAUUAAUUGAGGAAGGCUUAAUGAAUAGCAUUGUUUUUCCUUCUGCUUCUCUUUGUGAUAAUUAAAAUGAGUUUUAUUUUUGUACUGCGAGGAGACACACUGCAUCAAGGCCAACAGAGUGUUUACAAAGGAGUGAUGUAUGAGCUCUGUGUGCCCAUAAAAUACAGUGAAGCAAGCUGGCUUUGACUUGGUUCCUACAAGCUUCUGUUAUUACAGGUUUGUUUACUUGGGAGCUGUGGAGGUUUAUUUAUAUAAAUGCCAGUGAUGCUGUUCAUAAUUGUGUCCAGGAUCAACGUAGUACAGCAUUGAUCAAACCUGCUGCAGCUUUGUUUUAAAUCAAACAUGAGAUAUUUGACAAGUUCAUAACUGUCUACUAUGGAUUUUUUUCUGCUAUACUCCAGAUACCCAAGCUAGAAUUGCAAAAAGACCGAAGAGAGAACUCCAAUUUACAAAUCUGUCAGUAAUGGCAGCCAGAGCAUCAUCACUGAUGUAAUAUAUUGUAAGAUUACGUGGGGGGAACUCAGCACAAAUGAUUUCUGUAGCACUUGUUUCACAUGAAUUUUGCAAAGAAUAACAUUUAGAAUAAUAACCAUCUAAUGUGUUUCCCUGUGAAAAUACAGAUCGUACAUUUCAGCUCGUGGUUCAACUUGAGAAUUGGGAGCUCACAUUUGGGUAUUUUCUGUAGACAAUUCCUUUGGUCCUUUUACGCAUCCCAGAUUAUGGUGCUUAAUUUCAGAUUUAUAAGCCUUGUAAUUGGCUCUGUAGAAGAACAGUUUACUUUGAGACCAGUUUACCAAGUAAGCUAUGGUGCUGUGAAUGACAUAUCUUCACUUUAUUCCAUUCUAUUUAUCCUUGCUCUUUUUGUAAGCAUUACCAGCUUCUAUAUCAUAGUUUAAAAAAAAAAUGUUGCGUCACUAGCUGAGAAUCAGUUCUCUAGGCAGCUCUUUACUCUAAAUAAUUAAUUACUUAUUUAAAAAAUUUAGUAUCAAGAAAGCCUUUUCUGAUUGUCUAUUGCUACAUAACUGUUGAGUAUCCCUGUUUCCAAGAAUCUGAAGCUUGUGUGAUAGAGUUCAAAGCUUAAAACAUGUUCAGAAAGAUGUUAACACUUGCUGUCAGUUGUUGGUAGGAGUAUUUGAUUUGACAAGACUUGUCUUCCCCCAGAACCUGUUGAAUUCUGAAUAUAAUUAAUUCUCUGAGAUUAAGUAAUGAUCUUUAUAUUGCAUGAUUUUACUUAAAAUCAAUAUUGGGAUAGAUGAGUCAUUGCAUUAAAAGUUACGUUGUUAACAUCUAUUUUUAAAAUAUUUUCUUGUUCUAUGGACUUUUCCAUGAUAGAUUCAUUCUAGGGGAAGUAUAUCUGUUUUUGAAAUUGAAUAAACAGGAAAAAAACGUAUCUUGAGUCAUGUCUGAGAUGUUAACUCCUGGUGCCAUUCUGCAACAGUUGAGAGAGCUGAAUUGGAUUUGGUGUUAGGAAGUUUGAGAAGGAAGGAUUAUUGGCAGAGGGUUCACCAGCUGUGCUCUCAUGCUUGGAACUUGUUGCUGCUUUGUUGUAACAAUCCAGUGACUUUCUGGGGAUGCAGCAAAGCGUUGUUUGUUCACUUGGCCUCUCUGAGCAAAGUGAGCUGUUUCUUCCCAGUUGUUUUGAGCGAGUUUGAAUAUUAAUAGAUUCAUAGAUUUUAUGUAUUAGCGUUGAAGUUUUAUAUUGCCAUAGUCUUAAUUACAGGUGCCUUUCUGUAGGCAAUGAAUCUGUGGAGGACAGGGAAGAAAACUGGUAUUAUCUGAUUGUACUUGUGCAUUAUCAAUGGCAUUUGGAGCCCAGGUUUGAAAAGCAGUUCUGGAUGUUACUCUAUGUCAGGCUUCUCUGGCUGCCCUGGAACAUCCACUUCCCUACAUCUCCUGUCCUCCUUGUUUUAGUAUGUAGUUUUAAAAAAAAAAAAAUCUUGGCAUACGUAUUCUUUUUUGCAGAUGAGUAUAAGAAUCUCUGAGCUGGAAAAUCAGCUACCUUUCCUUGCUGGUGAAGGAUGUUAUAUAUAGAGCUGCUAAAACCUUGGCACCUGUAAUUGUGCCAGACGAGAUGAGAUGCAGCAUCUGGGGAAUGGUUCUGCCGUUGGAGGAGAUGGGCUGGAAACAUUCUUUCAUGGACAGAAGCUUUGUAAGAUGGGAAUGUGAAGAACAUCUGAAGUCUGUUAACAGAAUCCUCUUGCUGCAGUAUCCCGAGGUGUUGUGGCUGGUAACUUCUGUAGCCAGGUAGUUAUCUCCUGGUAACUGGUUCAUGAGCUGUUCCCCCCUUAUUUUCUGAUACAAAGUCCCUGAAGAGAUACUUAGUUGGAUUUGAAUUCAGUUUGGUGGCAGAUCUCCAGCUAGCAGCCAGGAGACUGCUAGAAAUAGAUGAUGUGGAUAAAGACUCUGUUCAUCUCUCUGAUUUAUUCUGCAAACAUUAAGAAGGAUGCUGAACAGCGUACAUAAUUUCAAUUAUCAUUGCUGGUGCAUUGCUCUGCAGUUUUGCUGGGGUUUUCAUACAAAUGAAGUCGGUCUUUUUUGAUUGGAAUAUGUUCUCAAUGACACAAUGUGCAAGAUGAGAAGACAGAUUUGCUUGUUAAUUACUUCUUUGAGAUCACUGCUGGUGGCAUGCAGAAUGCUACAACAAAUGUCUGUUAGCGUGGUUAGUGUGGGCUCCUGUUCUGCUCUCAGACUAAGCAGACAAAAGCAGUUUGUCUACAUUUUUAAAACCAUGAACAUUCAGAGAAAUUACUGUAUUUUUCAAAGAGGCAUAGAGAAACUAAAGGUAACUUCAUAAGUUCCCUGGGGCAAGGCAUUAAAACUUAGGUACUUACUGGCAGAAAUUGAACAUCUAGUGGUUGUGAGGAUUUCACUGGGCAGGUAGGUGCUUACUUCCAUUACAGUAAAACAUGAACUUGUAAGUCAUAUCUAAAAAGGUGUAGGCUUAACUGAACUUUAGAGCCUUUGAGAUUGCUAGAAUGCUAUUUCCACUGAACAUCUGACAGUGAUGCAUGAAACAAAACCAAAGUAUCAGAAAACGAGAGUCCUGUCUGCCAUCUGAAGUGAUCUGAAUGCUGCCAUGAAUGUGCCAAGGGCACCUUAAAAAAUGUGGCACAUCUUCAAAUUCAGUUGGAAGUUUCCCUGAGAUUGUGUUAGUGACUUGGCUUACCUGUAGGAGUGUGUUAGCAGAGUUCUGUGUCGGAUCUGCUGAGUUCCAGACCUGCAUCCUGAACACAACAGAUUUCUGUUACCGAGAGUCCAGCUGCAUUUUACAUACAUAUUAAAUUUCAAGUAUGAGUUACAACAGUUGUGCAUCGAAGAUCGCUAGCAGCUAGCAUGCAAAUGCUGUAUCUAAAGAGAUUAAAGCCCUUCUGAUGGCAGUGGAAACUGUCAAAGUUAAAUUAAAAUUAAAAAUCCAUUCUGUGGCUGCAGAGAUGCCGGGCUGCCUGACAGCCCCAGAGCCAGGGAGUUUAAACUGCAGCAGUAUCUAUUUGCUCUCCUGUGCUUCUGCCUUUACCCCAGUCAGCUUCUGUACCACAGUGAAAUAUGGCCACUGUGCCUAUGAGAUGUUGGGCCUGAAUGUAAGGAAAGAGAAACAACAUUCAGCUGUUUUUUUAACCUCUCUGAUUAGCAGAUAUUCAAUUUACUUAUUCCUUAGCUUGUAAUAUAUUAAGAUGACAGGUCUUCUCCUUUUUUUGUAUGCUUUAUGAUAAUGUACUGCUGCAUAUUAGUCACUCAAAAUGAAGAUUUGAUGUGGCCUUCAGCAGUUAAAAAACAAACAAACAAACAAAAAACCACGAAAAAAACCCCCACUGGCUAUGAUGACAAGGGAAUGUUUUCAUAAAUUAAUACCUGCACUACAUGUAGGUGUCCCAGACAGUAAGUGAGGAGCAGUAGGUGAUCGGGGUGGUGCUGAGAGCAUGAAAUACCAUGGGAAAAAUCGUGGGGCUGCUGAAGGUGAGGAGGGGCUGCAUCUGUGUGCCUGCCCACCCUGCCUCCACACUCACCAUCUCAGCUCACUGAUGUUCCUGAAUCUCUGUUGUGGUUCUUUCCAUUUUACUGUCCUUGUCUGCCAACGUGAAAGCAGUGUUGUAAUAAAGGAUAAAACUUCUCAUAAGCAAUUUACUGCCAUGUACUGUACAGACCUCUGGAAAUCAGUUGUGUAUUGCUUGCUGCUGUUUGAGUUACUUCUCAGAUUGCCUAAAUUAGAGAUUAGGACAAUCUCUGAUUAAACAGCCUGUAUGCUGCUUGAAACUCAAAAGGAGCAAUGCCUUUAUUAGUUAAGCAUUGAGCCAAAAUCUUUGCUUGGCGACACCUCUAUGUGAGAUGAGUUUAAAAAUCUGGACCAGGAAUACGAAGUUUCAGUUGAAGUGCAGUGAGGCCUUUUUCACAGGGAGCCAUCCCAGUUCAUGCUACAGAGCAGGGAAUCCAACCCCUGUAAAAGCACUGGGUACUGCUGGCCUACGAUAGGAUAAUGGGCCUUAAGGAAAGGGGAACCGGCAUUAUGCACUACUUUUGUUAAGAUAUUUAUUACUGUUUCGUGUGAUACUUGAGAAAUGGGUUACAACGAGAUGCAGGUGUGACUGAAUGAUCGUACAGGUAGAACAAAAAAUGUGGUACACAAUUGCAUGUAGGUUUUAAUAUUUCUUAGAGUUGUGUGGGCUGGCAGGACGCUGUGUUGGCAGGAGGGGUGUUCCCUGGUACGUGUAUGGUCCUCAGCAGCAUCCCAGUGCUUUAGCUGGUGCAGAGCUGUUAGAGCCUGAGCCGGGCAGGCAGCCGCGCUGCACGGAGCUGUGAUGUUUGCUUUGCAGACAGAAGGAGUUCAGGCAGAAAUUGGAGCCUCCGGUCGCCUGUAACACAUCCUCUGUAUUCUCUCCCUCUGAGUAAGCCAUGUGAGCCGCAUCUCUCCCUGCUGUGACUUAUUGGCUGCCGUCAGCUCUGAGUAAUGCAGCUUCCACGCAGGGCGUUGCUGGAGGGUGUGAGCAGACCAGCUGGGCUGCAGGGAGCGAGUGUGGUACCUGUGGCUGACGUGCAGCUCUGCAGGCUCUGUAACAUCCAGUAAUUCACACGGGCACCUGGGUUGUUAUGACAUAUUAUUCCUCGGUUUUAUUAAUCGCUAAUCAAGUAAUAUAUAGUAAUUAUUUGCUCCGUGGUAAAAUGUCCUCAGUGUCCAUCUGUAAACUUGCUCCAAGUGAGAAAUUGUACCCGGGGGCGGCCAGAGCGCAGCCCGUGUGUGCUGCCCUGCCGGGGCGGAGUGCUACGUCCUUGGGUGGGCAGAAAUUGAAAAUAAUUACGCUCCAAACUAUUAGAUGCCACGAACGAUAGAGCGAAGCCCACGGCGCUCUGACGGUCCUCCACGGAGAUUUCUGACGCUCCUUCUUGGAACGCCCCAGUCCCUUUUUCCCCCCGUUGCGAGAGCCGAGCGCCGCUCCGCUCCGA
Non-coding RNA from Meleagris gallopavo (turkey), 9932 nucleotides. Lineage: Eukaryota; Metazoa; Chordata; Aves; Galliformes; Phasianidae. The record is from RefSeq and is a predicted model, not a curated record.